Molecule: ribosomal RNA, 2088 nt
Filed under: Triticum aestivum (bread wheat)
Lineage: Eukaryota; Viridiplantae; Streptophyta; Magnoliopsida; Poales; Poaceae
Description: partial small subunit ribosomal RNA
Source: RNAcentral
AUGGAGUACGCCAUCUUCGGGUCCAGGCGGGUCGACGACGACACGGGGUUCAGGCGCCAGCGGACCGUCAGAUUCCGUGAAGAGAGGACAAAGGCGACGAUGCCUAUUCACCAGAAGCAGGCUGGUCCAGCUGCUCGCAAGCUCGGCGUGGGGAACUGGGGGAAGAACAGGAUCUUCGUAGCAGGACAAGACGUUCCCCACAAGAGGAUCAUCGACCCAACGAGCGAUUUCAUCUUGCUAUGGAACUACGUAUUCCGCGUCUCAUGCUUCGUCGCUCUGUUCAUGGACCCUCUGUACUUCUACGUGCCUAAAAUCGUGUAUGGCAAAACUUCAUGCGUCGGGAAAGAUAGGCACCUGGCCAUCAUCAUCACCGUCUUCCGGUCGAUUGCGGAUCUCUUUUAUGUCAUCCAGAUCGUGAUAAAGUUCAUGACCGCAUAUAUUAAUCCGAGCUCCAAGUCGGGGGUUUUCGGCAGAGGGGAGCUGGUUACAGAUCCUAAUGAAAUCGCGAAGACGUAUCUGAGAUCUGACUUUGUAGUUGAUUUAGUGGCUUCAAUUCCUGUACCACAGAUCAUUACUUGGUCCGUGAUACCAGCUAUUAAGUAUACUUGGUCUGGGCAUAAUAAUGACAUACUGUUCCUGGCUGCUCUUUUUCAGUACAUUCUGAGAUUAUAUCUAAUAUCUUCCUUGAAUAGCAAAAUUCUCAAAGUUACUGGAGCUUUUUCAAAGACUGCCUGGCAGGGAGCUGUGUCCAAUCUGCUAUUAUAUAUGACUGCCAGUCAUGUUUUAGGAGCAUUAUGGUACCUGCUGUCUGUUGAUCGCCAGACUGCAUGCUGGCAAAAAUACUGCAAUGAUGAUGCUGGUUGCCAUAAUAAAUACCUGUCUUGUAACGCAGAGCCAGAUCCAAAUUGGGCAAAGAGUACUGCUAUCUUUAAAAACUGUAAUGCUAGUAACAAAAGCAUAAGUUUCGACUUUGGUAUGUUCGAGACAGUGUUAUCAAACAAAGCUCCAGGCCAUAGAUUCCUGAAGAAGUACUUGUAUUGCCUUUGGUGGGGCUUACAAAAUCUAAGUUGCUAUGGCCAGACUUUGAGUGUAAGUACCUAUAUUGGUGAGACAUUGUAUGCCAUAUUCUUGGCGGUACUUGGUCUAGUUUUGUUUGCCCAUUUGAUUGGGAAUGUUCAGACCUACCUACAAUCCAUCACUGCAAGGGUUGAGGAGUGGAGAGUAAAGCAAAGAGAUACCGAAGAGUGGAUGAAACAUCGCCAACUUCCUCCUGUACUACAGGAAAGGGUGAGAAGAUUUAUUCACUACAAGUGGCUUGCAACUCGAGGCGUGGACGAAGCAUCUAUAUUGAAGGCUCUGCCUGCAGAUCUUCGCCGUGACAUCAACCGUCACCUUUGCUUGGAUCUUGUUCGCCGGGUGCCGUUCUUCUCACAGAUGGACGACCAGCUCCUGGACGCCAUCUGUGGGCGCCUGGUCUCCUCCCUGAGCACGAAGGGCACGUACACGGUCCGCGAGGGCGACCCGGUGACCGAGAUGCUCUUCAUCAUCCGCGGCAAGCUGGAGAGCUCCACCACGGACGGCGGCCGGACGGGCUUCUUCAACUCCAUCAUCCUCAAGUCCGGCGACUUCUGCGGCGAAGAGCUGCUCGGAUGGGCCCUCGUCCCCAGGCCGACCGUCAACCUGCCAUCAUCCACCAGGACGGUGAAGGCGCUCGUAGAGGUGGAGGCGUUCGCCCUCCAAGCCGAGGACCUCCGGUUCGUGGCCAGCCAGUUCAGGCGGCUCCACAGCAGGAAGCUGCAGCACACCUUCCGGUACUACUCCCACCACUGGAGGACCUGGGCGGCCUGCUUCAUCCAGGCCACCUGGCGCCGCCACAAGCGCCGUCGGCUGGCCAGGGACCUCAUGAUGAGGGAGUCCUUCUCCUCCAUGAGGUCGUAUGAGGAUGGCGAUGGCGGUGGCUCCUUCGCCGAGCACGGUCGGGCGGCGAAGAUCAUGGCCGCGGCCAGGAAAGGGUCGGAUGGCCACCGGGAGCUGCCUAAGUUCAGGAAGCCCUCCGAGCCGGACUUCUCGGUGGAGCACGACGACUAG